GACGAACGCUGGCGGCGUGCUUAACACAUGCAAGUCGAACGGAAAGGCCCUGCUUUUGUGGGGUGCUCGAGUGGCGAACGGGUGAGUAACACGUGAGUAACCUGCCCUUGACUUUGGGAUAACUUCAGGAAACUGGGGCUAAUACCGGAUAGGAGCUCCUGCUGCAUGGUGGGGGUUGGAAAGUUUCGGCGGUUGGGGAUGGACUCGCGGCUUAUCAGCUUGUUGGUGGGGUAGUGGCUUACCAAGGCUUUGACGGGUAGCCGGCCUGAGAGGGUGACCGGCCACAAUGGGACUGAGAUACGGCCCAGACUCCUACGGGAGGCAGCAGUGGGGAAUAUUGCACAAUGGGCGGAAGCCUGAUGCAGCAACGCCGCGUGCGGGAUGACGGCCUUCGGGUUGUAAACCGCUGUCGCCUGUGACGAAGCGUGAGUGACGGUAAUGAGUAAAGAAGCACCGGCUAACUACGUA
This 468-nucleotide ribosomal RNA is filed under the name uncultured bacterium. RNAcentral's name for it is "partial 16S ribosomal RNA". It matches the Rfam family "Bacterial small subunit ribosomal RNA", at positions 28 to 507 of the family's 1533-position model. The record is from RNAcentral.